This 148-nucleotide ribosomal RNA is filed under the name uncultured bacterium. Its description in RNAcentral is "partial 16S rRNA". It matches the Rfam family "Bacterial small subunit ribosomal RNA", at positions 368 to 507 of the family's 1533-position model. The record is from RNAcentral.
GCAAUGGGCGAAAGCCUGACGCAGCAACGCCGCGUGGAGGAUGAAGGCCCUUGGGUUGUAAAGUCCUGUCGGCUGGGAAGAAAUCGUUCGGGGCUAAUACCUCCGGACGUUGACUGUACCAGCAAAGGAAGCCCCGGCUAACUCUGUG